GAUGAUAGACCACAGCUUGCUGGGUGGAUUAGUGGCGAACGGGUGAGUAACACGUGAGUAACCUGCCCCUGACUCUGGGAUAAGCGUUGGAAACGACGUCUAAUACUGGAUAUGAUCACUGGCCGCAUGGUCUGGUGGUGGAAAGAUUUUUUGGUUGGGGAUGGACUCGCGGCCUAUCAGCUUGUUGGUGAGGUAAUGGCUCACCAAGGCGACGACGGGUAGCCGGCCUGAGAGGGUGACCGGCCACACUGGGACUGAGACACGGCCCAGACUCCUACGGGAGGCAGCAGUGGGGAAUAUUGCACAAUGGGCGAAAGCCUGAUGCAGCAACGCCGCGUGAGGGAUGACGGCCUUCGGGUUGUAAACCUCUUUUAGUAGGGAAGAAGCGAAAGUGACGGUACCUGCAGAAAAAGCACCGGCUAACUACGUGCCAGCAGCCGCGGUAAUACGUAGGGUSCAAGCGUUGUCCGGAAUUAUUGGGCGUAAAGAGCUCGUAGGCGGUUUGUCGCGUCUGCUGUGAAAUCCCGAGGCUCAACCUCGGGCUUGCAGUGGGUACGGGCAGACUAGAGUGCGGUAGGGGAGAUUGGAAUUCCUGGUGUAGCGGUGGAAUGCGCAGAUAUCAGGAGGAACACCGAUGGCGAAGGCAGAUCUCUGGGCCGUAACUGACGCUGAGGAGCGAAAGCAUGGGGAGCGAACAGGAUUAGAUACCCUGGUAGUCCAUGCCGUAAACGUUGGGCGCUAGAUGUAGGGACCUUUCCACGGUUUCUGUGUCGUAGCUAACGCAUUAAGCGCCCCGCCUGGGGAGUACGGCCGCAAGGCUARAACUCAAAGGAAUUGACGGGGGCCCGCACAAGCGGCGGAGCAUGCGGAUUAAUUCGAUGCAACGCGAAGAACCUUACCAAGGCUUGACAUACACCGGAAACGGCCAGAGAUGGUCGCCCCCUUGUGGUCGGUGUACAGGUGGUGCAUGGUUGUCGUCAGCUCGUGUCGUGAGAUGUUGGGUUAAGUCCCGCAACGAGCGCAACCCUCGUUCUAUGUUGCCAGCGGGUUAUGCCGGGGACUCAUAGGAGACUGCCGGGGUCAACUCGGAGGAAGGUGGGGAUGACGUCAAAUCAUCAUGCCCCUUAUGUCUUGGGCUUCACGCAUGCUACAAUGGCCGGUACAAAGGGCUGCGAUACCGUAAGGUGGAGCGAAUCCCAAAAAGCCGGUCUCAGUUCGGAUUGAGGUCUGCAACUCGACCUCAUGAAGUCGGAGUCGCUAGUAAUCGCAGAUCAGCAACGCUGCGGUGAAUACGUUCCCGGGCCUUGUACACACCGCCCGUCAAGUCAUGAAAGUCGGUAACACCCGAAGCCGGUGGCCUAACCCUUGUGGAAGGAGCCGUCG
Molecule: ribosomal RNA, 1383 nt
Filed under: Curtobacterium sp.
Lineage: Bacteria; Bacillati; Actinomycetota; Actinomycetes; Micrococcales; Microbacteriaceae
Description: bacterial SSU rRNA
Source: RNAcentral